GAAUAAUAACUGAGCUGGCCCCGCCAGUGGCCGAGACUGACUUCGCAGUAGCAUCCGAGAGAAUGGACCACGCCAUGCCGGGGGCACGGUUUCAUAUGCAUACUUUAUGAAAAUGAUAUUUGAAGCAUGAUCAUGAGGCUCAUUUCAGAGCCUGGGUAUAUGAGGCGGGUGUUUCCAAAUCCUGCAGAUGCAUUUUGGGGAGAAGCAAAAUCGGUGAGGGGUGAAGGACGCUUGCGUGAAGCCCCAGAACCGGCCAACAUCUGGCAGGGGAGCCCCGUGUUUCCCCCUCAUG
Molecule: long non-coding RNA, 292 nt
Filed under: Phoenix dactylifera (date palm)
Lineage: Eukaryota; Viridiplantae; Streptophyta; Magnoliopsida; Arecales; Arecaceae
Description: long non-coding RNA (PDAC_LNC002547)
Source: RNAcentral